GUGCUCACUUUGGCAGCACAUAUAUUAAAAUUGGAAUGAUGCAGAGAAGAUUAGCAUGGCCCUAGUGCAAGGAUGAUACACAAAUUUGUGAGGCUUUCCAUUUAAAA
RNAcentral lists this small nuclear RNA (107 nucleotides) under Salvator merianae (Argentine black and white tegu). Lineage: Eukaryota; Metazoa; Chordata; Lepidosauria; Squamata; Teiidae. The record is from RNAcentral.